RNAcentral lists this unclassified non-coding RNA (1005 nucleotides) under Hevea brasiliensis (rubber tree). Lineage: Eukaryota; Viridiplantae; Streptophyta; Magnoliopsida; Malpighiales; Euphorbiaceae. The record is from RNAcentral.
CUUCUGUGCUCUAGCAUCAUACUCCUCUCGACCCCUACGCCUCUUGGCAUGCUCUCGAGGAGGAGGUGAUGGAAUCUCAGAAGUGGCGAAUAAGGCAGUCAUCACUGUAUCCUCAGCAGGCUCUGCAGAAGGGGCUUCAGACUCAAGUACCCUAGCCUCUAGGAUCAUAUCAAUAUCUUCUCGCAGACUCUCAACCGCAGCCUGAAGGGUCGACACGUCCACCUGAGGGGCAGGCCGGGCUAGCACCCGCAACUCAAAAGCGUCUAAGCGCUGAUGAACCUCAGCGAUCUUCCGCUUCAAGUGCUAGACCAUUUUACGCUCCAAGCGCUCCUCCGCCUCAGCAAGAGACCUUUGCAUCCAAGGAUGGAUGUGAUGCAGAAGUGUGGCCAUCUGAACCUCUAGUCUCUGGACUCUAACAAGCGGGACCAAAGCGGGGAACGGGGAUGAGCGAGAGGAGGUAGGGGCAGUGCUACUACUCGGGAUAGACUUGACCGGGGUAGUGUCAGUGGUUUCAAGAGCAGUCUGCGUAGCCGUUCGAGCAUGUGCUACCGUAUCCGCCAUAUUUUCACUAAGUGGAGGCAACUUAGGUAGUCCAUAGGCAUCAAUUGUCAUUUCCAACAACACAUUUGCGUAAAAUAUUCCAUCCAUCAAGCUAUAGUAUAAGUAUAUUACCUUAAGUAGUCCAUAAAAUUCAAUUAUCUUUGCCUCCAAUACUUCUUCAUUAAACAACCUCUAAGCACUCUGACAUUGCAAAGAUCGUAAAAACAGACACGGUCAUAUAAUAAACUCUCCGACACCAAGCAAAAUAACAAAAUAAAGAUCUACAAAGCUGAAUACUAGGCUCACACCCUUUUGAGAGCUUGACAAGAACUCUUACCGGAUAGUACACCUUUGACAACUGAAUUUUUCAACAGUCUUCAUCAUUGAAGAACAUCAAGGGCGGCGGAUAAAGAUGCAGAAAUGGAGAACUGAAAAAAGUGGAAAGAGAAGAAGGAUCAAAUUAGG